ACUCCUACGGGAGGCAGCAGUUGGGAAUCUUAGGCAAUGGACGAAAGCCUGAUGGAGCGACGCCGCGUGAGCGAAGAAGGUCUUCGGGUUGUAAAGCUCUGUCUGGAGGGACGAAGAAAGUGACGGUACCUCCGGAGGAAGCCACGGCUAACCACGUGCCAGCAGCCGCGGUAAU
This 175-nucleotide ribosomal RNA is filed under the name uncultured bacterium. Its description in RNAcentral is "partial 16S ribosomal RNA". It matches the Rfam family "Bacterial small subunit ribosomal RNA", at positions 335 to 524 of the family's 1533-position model. The record is from RNAcentral.